CCCUACGGGGUGCGCAAGGUCUGGCACCCGUCCCAGGAGAGCCACGACCUGCCAGGUGGCGGCAUCGAGGUGCGCUUCCCGACGACGGGGCUUGUGGCCCUCAAGCACUGGCUCUUCCGGUGGAUCCCUCACGUGCGGGUCCUUGAGCCCGAGGAACUGAGGGAGGAGAUGCUCGGGGUGUUGAAAAUCCAGGUGGCACAUUUGGAGAAAAAGGCGGCGGGAAGGAAACGCGCGAAUCGAGCCGGUGAGCCCCAAUGAACCAAAGGGUUCCCGAUUGUGGCACACGGUUGCAGGCGGCUCCCAUGUGCCGAAAACAAGGGGAAGCAACCAUGAACAGCCAACGCGAUCCUGCUCGGAAAAAAGGCGACGCACUUGUGGGGCGUUAUCGGGGGAGC
Molecule: ribosomal RNA, 395 nt
Filed under: uncultured prokaryote
Description: partial 16S ribosomal RNA
Source: RNAcentral